GUGAAUCAUCGAAUCUUUGAACGCAAAUUGCACUCUCCGGUUUUCCGGGAGAGUAUGCCUGUUUGAGGGUCAGCCUAAAAAAAAUCGACAUUGUUGCUGUUAUUUAAUGGUGACUUUCGCCGGAGAUUGGGUUAUCUUAAACCUUUUUUUUUUUGGUUUAGGGGCUUAAAAUUUUUUUUUCCGGAUCCCUUGAACGUUCUUAGGUUUUUUUUUUUUUUUCG
This 221-nucleotide unclassified non-coding RNA is filed under the name Glomeraceae sp. RNAcentral's name for it is "partial contains 5.8S ribosomal RNA and internal transcribed spacer 2". The stretch from base 1 to 72 matches the Rfam family "5.8S ribosomal RNA", at positions 84 to 154 of the family's 154-position model. The record is from RNAcentral. Lineage: Eukaryota; Fungi; Glomeromycota; Glomeromycetes; Glomerales; Glomeraceae.